UAGGGUGAUCAUUUCAUAGUGUUUAUCACAGCAUAAUUUUAUAAUGAGACAGCAUAUUUUCCAAAUACCAUCAUUGUCACCAAACUCCUGCAAGGCACAGUCAUCUCAUCUGGGGACCGUCUUCUCCUCAGGCGUCCCACCCCAGUGCUUGCCAUAUAGUAGGAGACAUGCAAAUACCGUCCUCCCUCUGCUGAUGAAAACCAGCCCAGCCCUGACCCUGCAGCUCUGGGAGAGGAGCCCCUGCCUGGGAUUCCCAGGAGUUUCCACUUGGUGACCAGCACUGAACACAGACCACCAACCAUGGAGUUCGGGCCGAGCUGGGUUUUCCUUGUUGCUCUUUUAAAAGGUGUCCAGUGUGAGGUGCAGCUGGUGGAGUCUGGGGGAGGCUUGGUCCAGCCUGGGGGGGGGUCCCUGAGACUCUCCUGUGCAGCCUCUGGAUUCACCUUCAGUGACGACUACAUGGAGUGGGUCCGCCAGGCUCCAGGAAAGGGGCUGGAGUGGGUUGGACAAAUUAAUCCUAAUGGGGGUACCACAUUCCUCAUGGAUUCCGUGAAGGGCCGAUUCACCAUCUCCAGAGACAACGCCAAGAACACGCUUUAUCUGCAAAUUAACAGCCUGAAAAUAGAGGACACGGCCGUGUAUUACUGUACUAGGCACACAAUGAGGGGAGGUCAGUGUGAGCCCAGACACAAACCCCCCUGCAGGGGCGCGCGGGGCCACCAGGGGGCGCUCGGGACCCACUGA
Molecule: non-coding RNA, 744 nt
Organism: Macaca mulatta (Rhesus monkey)
Lineage: Eukaryota; Metazoa; Chordata; Mammalia; Primates; Cercopithecidae
Source: the annotation of a RefSeq genome assembly